Molecule: ribosomal RNA, 945 nt
Filed under: Vibrio vulnificus
Lineage: Bacteria; Pseudomonadati; Pseudomonadota; Gammaproteobacteria; Vibrionales; Vibrionaceae
Description: partial 23S ribosomal RNA
Rfam family: Bacterial large subunit ribosomal RNA
Source: RNAcentral
UGUUCUAUGAACAUUGGGUAGGGGAGCGUUCUGUAAGCCGUUGAAGGUGUGUUGUAAAGCAUGCUGGAGGUAUCAGAAGUGCGAAUGCUGACAUGAGUAACGACAAGGGGGGUGAAAAACCUCCCCGCCGGAAGACCAAGGGUUCCUGUCCAACGUUAAUCGGGGCAGGGUAAGUCGACCCCUAAGGCGAGGCUGAAAAGCGUAGUCGAUGGGAAACGGGUUAAUAUUCCCGUACUUCUUACAAUUGCGAUGGGGGGACGGAGAAGGCUAGGUGGGCCUGGCGACGGUUGUCCAGGUUCAAGUGCGUAGGCUGAGUGUUUAGGUAAAUCCGGAUACUCUUAAGGCUGAGACACGACGUCGAGCUACUACGGUAGUGAAGUCAUUGAUGCCAUGCUUCCAGGAAAAGCCUCUAAGCUUCAGAUUGUAAGGAAUCGUACCCCAAACCGACACAGGUGGUCGGGUAGAGAAUACCAAGGCGCUUGAGAGAACUCGGGUGAAGGAACUAGGCAAAAUGGUACCGUAACUUCGGGAGAAGGUACGCUCUUGAUGGUGAAGUCCCUUGCGGAUGGAGCUGACGAGAGUCGCAGAUACCAGGUGGCUGCAACUGUUUAUUAAAAACACAGCACUGUGCAAAAUCGUAAGAUGACGUAUACGGUGUGACGCCUGCCCGGUGCCGGAAGGUUAAUUGAUGGGGUUAGCGUAAGCGAAGCUCUUGAUCGAAGCCCCGGUAAACGGCGGCCGUAACUAUAACGGUCCUAAGGUAGCGAAAUUCCUUGUCGGGUAAGUUCCGACCUGCACGAAUGGCGUAAUGAUGGCCACGCUGUCUCCACCCGAGACUCAGUGAAAUUGAAAUCGCUGUGAAGAUGCAGUGUACCCGCGGCUAGACGGAAAGACCCCGUGAACCUUUACUACAGCUUGGCACUGAACAUUGAACCUACAUGUGUA